AAGCGUAACAAGGUCUCCGUAGGUGAACCUGCGGAGGGAUCAUUACACAAAUAUGAAGGCGGGCUGGAACCUCUCGGGGUUACAGCCUUGCUGAAUUAUUCACCCUUGUCUUUUGCGUACUUCUUGUUUCCUUGGUGGGUUCGCCCACCACUAGGACAAACAUAAACCUUUUGUAAUUGCAAUCAGCGUCAGUAACAAAUUAAUAAUUACAACUUUCAACAACGGAUCUCUUGGUUCUGGCAUCGAUGAAGAACGCAGCGAAAUGCGAUAAGUAGUGUGAAUUGCAGAAUUCAGUGAAUCAUCGAAUCUUUGAACGCACAUUGCGCCCUUUGGUAUUCCAAAGGGCAUGCCUGUUCGAGCGUCAUUUGUACCCUCAAGCUUUGCUUGGUGUUGGGCGUCUUGUCUCUAGCUUUGCUGGAGACUCGCCUUAAAGUAAUUGGCAGCCGGCCUACUGGUUUCGGAGCGCAGCACAAGUCGCACUCUCUAUCAGCAAAGGUCUAGCAUCCAUUAAGCCUUUUUUCAACUUUGACCUCGAUCAGUAGAU
RNAcentral lists this ribosomal RNA (544 nucleotides) under Alternaria sp. YLM4. RNAcentral describes it as "eukaryotic LSU rRNA". The stretch from base 211 to 364 matches the Rfam family "5.8S ribosomal RNA". Lineage: Eukaryota; Fungi; Ascomycota; Dothideomycetes; Pleosporales; Pleosporaceae. RNAcentral also lists the same sequence under 1 other name. The record is from RNAcentral.